GAUAUUGUAGGACGGUAUCUUCUUAGAUCAAUUUGUUGAACUCUCAACAAUAUUGACUCUAACUAACUCUCCAAAUCUUCUAUAAACUUCCACCUCAAAUACUUCCUAUUCGAACAUAUUUAGGUCAUUUACUAACCCAUGGAAUGAAAUCUCAGCAUUGUCUCCUAUAUACAGUGAAGUAGUUGCCACUUUACUAUUU
RNAcentral lists this long non-coding RNA (199 nucleotides) under Carica papaya (papaya). Its description in RNAcentral is "long non-coding RNA (CPAP_LNC004943)". The record is from RNAcentral. Lineage: Eukaryota; Viridiplantae; Streptophyta; Magnoliopsida; Brassicales; Caricaceae.